This is a long non-coding RNA of Eriocheir sinensis (Chinese mitten crab), 524 nucleotides long. RefSeq lists it as uncharacterized. The transcript is spliced from 3 exons. NCBI's taxonomy places the organism in Eukaryota, Metazoa, Arthropoda, Malacostraca, Decapoda, Varunidae. The record is from RefSeq and is a predicted model, not a curated record.
CCAUCAGUAAUGAUGAUAUAUAUUAAUUGAGUCAUUGGUUUGUAGGGGGAAAGAGUGGGUGAAUAUAAUUAUCUUGGUCUAACUUAUACUGUUUAUUAUAACGCUAUUCGCAGCAAUAUCUUUCUCUGCUCCGAUGGCAACGCUGCCUCGUUCAAAAAUCAUAACACCGCCGCGGCCGCCACGUUUACCAGCCGGAGCCUCAAAUCAUGUCCCUUUGUGGUGAUAAAGAGGACUCAGCCUGGUGUGAAGCUACAUUUAUUACGGAAGGAUGCCAGCCGGGAUCCGAACACGUCCGAUAUCAUCCAAGAGAAUGUGGCAGCUGAAGGGGGAGAGUCCAAGAAAGAGGCCAAAGGUGAAGACAUUUAGCCACCCCCCCUGAAAUACAUGGCAGCAUUCAACCCUCUUGGUGAGCUGCAGGAAUGUGCUUCCCAUUGCAGUGCACCAGCUCCAUGUACUGAUUUUGGGUGUGAACUUGAUGGGGUUGGAGGAAACUCGACUCGGCCAUCAAGCUCACCACAAUAUAA